RNAcentral lists this ribosomal RNA (504 nucleotides) under uncultured bacterium. Its description in RNAcentral is "partial 16S ribosomal RNA". It matches the Rfam family "Bacterial small subunit ribosomal RNA", at positions 28 to 507 of the family's 1533-position model. The record is from RNAcentral.
GACGAACGCUGGCGGCGUGCUUAACACAUGCAAGUCGAACGGUGAAGCGCUUGCCUUUUUGGUGGGUGUGGAAGAGUGGCGAACGGGUGAGUAACACGUGAGUAACCUGCCCUCUUCUUCUGGAUAACCUCAUGAAAGUGGGGCUAAUACGGGGUAUUCCGGGUCUGUCGCAUGGCGGGUUUGGGAAAGAUUGCGCCUUUGGGUGUUUUCGGUGGGGGAUGGGCUCGCGGCCUAUCAGCUUGUUGGUGGGGUGAUGGCCUACCAAGGCGGUGACGGGUAGCCGGCCUGAGAGGGUGGACGGCCACACUGGGACUGAGACACGGCCCAGACUCCUGCGGGAGGCAGCAGUGGGGAAUAUUGCACAAUGGGCGCAAGCCUGAUGCAGCGACGCCGCGUGAGGGAUGGAGGCCUUCGGGUUGUGAACCUCUUUCGCCAGUGAAGCAGGCCUGCUCCUGUGUGGGUGGGUUGACGGUAGCUGGAUAAGAAGCGCCGGCUAACUACGUG